GUAUGCUUUAUUUUACAUGAUAUAGCCAUAAUAGGCAAAUCCGUAGAGACGGAAAGCAACCCAGAGGUUACCAGGGGAGGAGUGGGGGAUGGGGAGUGACUGCUUAAUGGGUACAGGGUGUUUCGUGAUAUGAUGAAAAAUUUUGAAACUAGAGAGAGCUGGUUUCUGCAUAACGUUGUGAACACACUAAAAACCACUGAACCGUGCACUCUCAAAUGCCUCCAUGUACGUCGUGUGAAUUCCACCAAUAAAACAGAAACAAGGACUGGCAUUGGACAUAGCAAAGGCUGGGGCUAGGACUAACCCGGGCACGGUGGCCUCUGAUCAGAGCCUGUGAUCUUAACUGCAAAUCUGAAUUUUCGUAUUGUAUUUUUCAGUCUUGGAACUUCCACUUGAUUCUUUUCUCUAGUUUCCAGUUUCCUGCUGAAAUUCUCGUUAUCUAACUUCCUGAAUGUAUUAAUCACAGUUAUUAGAAUUCCCCUUAAAGCCUGGGGCAUUUUUCACAGAUCGGCCACCAUGAUGGGUCCUGCACUCCAAUUUUUGUUCCCCGAGACUUUGAGACACCAAAGCUCUGCCAGCUUCUCAGCCUCUCCACGGCCCCAGUCAGUACACACCUUGAGGGGAAAAGCAACUCCCAAUUUCAGGCGCAUCUUUCUGGGCCACUUCUAGGUGUUCUGGGUGGGAAGGCUGACCUAAAACCAGUGAGCCCACCAUGGCGAGAAGCAGGAAGCACCAGACCCUCCUUCCCUACUCCUCCAGCUGCUGCUCUCCUGCCAACACAGAUAAAGACUUAAAAAUUAAAAAGCAAAAAAAAAAAAAAAAAAAAGAAGAGUUAGGCUGGUAAAAUUGCAUUUUUCUUUUCUUUUCUUUUUUGUGGUGAAGAAGAUUGUCCCUGAGCUAACAUCUGUGGCAAUCUUCCUCUAUUUUGAAUGUGGGACACCACCAUAGCAUGGCUUGAGGAAUGAUGUAUAGGUCCGCACCCAGGAUCCAAACCUGCAAAACCCAGGCCACCAAAGUGGAGAGUAUGAACUUAAGCACUAUGCCACCAGCUGGCCCCAAAAUUGCAGUUUUCAAAGUGGGAUUAUUUAUUUACUUAUUUGGGAGAACAUUUCCCUCUAUUUCAUUACAAGAAAUACUGCACAGUAUAAUUUCUGAAGGAAAUUAAUGAUAAAAACUGCCAUUUAUUGAGUACAUCAAAAGAGCUUACUAUUUUAAACGUUUUACAUGUAUUAACUCACGUAAUCCUCAUAAAAAGCCUGAGAGCAUCUCCACUGCCAUUGUUGAAGGGACCAAGCCCCAGAGAGGUGAAGACACUGGCCUGAGGACAUACAGCUUGUCCAUCAGGGAGCAGAGACACAAACCCAGGUCUGCCCAGACAUUGUUCUUCAAGACCGAAGAGAAAGGAGUGAGUCAUCAUAAGGAAUGAGUAUCCAUAUUUGGGAGGGCAAGAAAGGCAGAAAAAAAUUUGCGGACACUAGAUGGAAAAUCGUUAAGGAGGAGGAAAAAAAGAGUUCUGAGUUCUCUUUGGUGGGCCCCAGGUUUGAGGAUAAGUAACUUAACCUCCCUGGCCUCAGUGUCUUCAUCUGUAAAAUGGGACUGAUAAAGGCCCUAACCCCUCAGGCUUUCCCCAGGCCUCAGCCCCCUUUCCCAUUUCCCCUCUCCAAGCAGAACCUGACAUCUUCCCUGUUGGGGAGGUUUGGGUCAGGGAGAGGAAAACAAGGACUCAGCUUCUGGGCCAGCUGCACACCUGCCUGAGCAGAGCCUCCUCCCUCUCCGGAAAGAACCUUAGACUUGGAUGGCAGGCCCUGCAGGUGGGGAGAACGGAGAGGGCACGUUCCCAGGCCAACUGAAGAAUGCCUGCAAGUCCUUAUGGUCCCACAGGGAAGCAGGGUCCUCCCCAUGGAGUCACCCUCAGACUUAAAGAGCUCAGGGGAGGGCCAGAGCGCUCGAUGCUCACCCAGUCCCUUAGUCAAUGCGAGUUUACUGAGCACACAUCUAUCAAUCAGGACUCUCCUGCUUGCCAGUGACAAAAACUCAGCUUAAACUCCUAAAAAAAAAAAAAGGGAAUUGAUUGGUCCCUGUAACCAGCCCAAGGGGGUGGAUCAGGCACGUCUGGAUCCAGAGGCCUAGGGGACACCAUCAAGACCUGCCUCACUCCAUCCAGGGCUCUGCCUUGCCCUCUGCUGGCUUCCUUCUCAGGCAGGUGCACCCCACCUGGUGAUAAGGACACCCCCUAGCUGCUCCAGGCUGACCUCCUCAACAACCCCUACAGGGAGAGAGCUCUUUCCCAGACUUGCAGCAAAAGUCCAGGGCUGAUGCUAGCUGGCUCCGUUGACCCUGACCCAACCCCACAGUCAGAGGGACGUGGGCCUUGUAUCAGCCAGCCCUGGACUGCACUCUUACCCCGCAUGAGGGGUGUGGCCAGUUACUUAGCUGUUGAUAUGAGGAGGCAUAAACGACAGAUUUCUUUCUUUCUUUUUUUUUUUUUUAAGGAAGAUUAGCCCUGAGCUAACAUCUGCCAAUUCUCCUCUUUUUUGCUGAGAAAGACUGGCCCUGAGCUAACAUCCGUGCCCAUCUUCCUCCACUUUAUAUGUGGGACACUUACCACAGCAUGGCUUGCCAAGUAGUGCCAUGUCUGCACCGGGGAUCCAAACUGGUGAACCCCGGGCCACCGAAGUGGAGCGUGUGCACCCAACCGCUGCACCACCAGGCCAGCCCCAAAUGACAGAUUUCUUGAGCCCUUUGCUCUGUGCUGUAGCUGUGUUUAAACCUCCCAGGACCCUGUAAGGUAAGUACCAUGUGUUAUCCCUGUCAGGCAGGUGAGGAAACUAGGGCACAGAGAGGUCAAGUUACUUGCCCCAAAUCACAAAGCUGGGAGAUAGCGAGGCUGGGCCUCAACUCAAGCACUCACAGAGCUCGACGCCUAACCGUUGCACCACAGGCUUCUAUCGUUUCCCCUUCAAACCCUGUCCUCUGUCCGGGCUGUAUCACUUCAGUUGCUCAAAUGAUUGGGCUCUCUCUCACCUCCAGGCCUUUGCACUCACUGCUCCCUCUGUUUGGUAUCCCCCCUUCCCUUUUCCUCCCGGUUAAGUCCUAUUCAUCUUCCCAGCCUCUGCUGAAGCAGCCCUUGUUGAGCAAGUCUUCCCUGAUGCUUCAGGCUGAGCGGGGGCCCUUCUCCGUGUCGCCAGCCGCAGGUGUCCCCUGCGAUGCGUUGCAACUGCCCACUGCUCGAUGAUGUACCCUGCCAGGUGUCAGCUCCAUGAGGCCGGCUUCAUUCUUGCUGUUUUCGGGAACCAGGCUGCCGCUGAGAGAGCUGCAGGGGACGGGCUGACUCAGUGGUUGUUUAGCGUCCUGUGGCUGCUGUAACAAAUCACCACAAAUGCAGUGCCUUCCAACAACACAAAUGUGUCCUCUCUCGGCUCUGGAGGCCAGACAUCUGGGACCAGGCUCGCUGGGCCAAGGUCAAGAUGUUGGUAGAGCCAGGUCCUUCUAGAGGCUCCAGGGGAGAUCUGUUUCCUUGCCCCUUCAGCUUCCAGAGGCCACCUACAUCUCUUGGCUUUUGGCCCUUUUUCCAUCUUCAAAGCCAGCAGGGUGGCAUCUUCAGAUCUCUUUCUCUCUGUCCCUCUGCUUUGUCAUCGCAUCAUCUUCUGUCUGAAAGACACAGGAGGAGGACAUCCUCUCAUAAGGGCUGUUGCGAUUACAUUGGGCCCACUCGGAUAAUCCAGGAUAAUCUCCUCAUCUCAAAAUCCUUAACUUAAUCACAUCUGCAAAGUCUCUUUUGCCGUAGAAGGUAACGGUCACGGGUUCCAGAGGUGGACAGCUCGAGGAGCCACGGUCC
RNAcentral lists this long non-coding RNA (3838 nucleotides) under Equus caballus (horse). Its description in RNAcentral is "lncRNA (ENSECAG00000047212.1)". Lineage: Eukaryota; Metazoa; Chordata; Mammalia; Perissodactyla; Equidae. The record is from RNAcentral.